Long non-coding RNA from Haliotis rubra (blacklip abalone), 340 nucleotides. RefSeq lists it as uncharacterized. The transcript is spliced from 3 exons. NCBI's taxonomy places the organism in Eukaryota, Metazoa, Mollusca, Gastropoda, Lepetellida, Haliotidae. The record is from RefSeq and is a predicted model, not a curated record.
AUUCUGUUUCCCUUAAUGAGAACCAGUUGGCCGGCUUCGAGUCCCAGAUUGCAGGUCAUGAGCUCGGACACAGCAUUGGAGCUCUCCACGAUAGCGAAGAGGGGUGUUCAGAUGCGAAUUUCUUUAUUAUGACCGCAUUUCUUGUCACGCCCGAUGCCAUACCCGAUUCCUUGCUUGGCCAAUCUAGUUCGUUUUUCACCAUGCAGUAUUGCCAAGUUCAACACAACUCUACAGACUGCAGCGUGCACUCGUCAAGAUUCAAACCUACCCACCAUAGACCGAGGACCAUCUGGGCAGCUCUUUGAUGCCGAUGCACAAUGCCGGUUUAUUGUGGGUUUAA